CCAAUACUCCACAUGAUGGUAGAAGAUAAUAGGGCG
Molecule: non-coding RNA, 36 nt
Filed under: Plasmodium falciparum 3D7
Lineage: Eukaryota; Apicomplexa; Aconoidasida; Haemosporida; Plasmodiidae
Source: RNAcentral